AGUAUUGUUUCUUUCACCAGGAGAAGUUAAAAAUAAAGGAGACGCUCUCUCGCGUUAGCCACUCUGUGUAUUUUCUUUUGUUUGCUCUAUCCGUGGGUCAGCUUUUUCAUUCUUUGGUGAACGCUGUUGUGGAAAUUACGACAUACGCUACUAAUUAAUAUCUUUGUUUGAUAAUUAUCAGAUAAUUACUGAAAAUAUAUCUAAGAUGCGUAGAUACGAUUAAUUACGAUCGUCGUUGGAAUCGCGAAGAGCAAAGAGUGAUUGGAGAUUGGAAACUAAGAUGCCGAGAGGAAUAUGGGUCCAGAUUUGUGCCACGCUCGAUCAAUAAUAACGCUAAAUUACGUAACAAUAGAUUACAUAUAGGCGUAUACAAAACGAGACCAGCGAGAUCGUGUGUCUAACGCCGGACAUACGAGUAUGUAACUCUCGUGACACGCGGAUGACCACAUUGACUAAAGUUAGAAGCGCGAAGUUAAAAGGAGAAACCAGAAGAACACGAGAUGCGAGUGAUAUCACGAUUCCUCUUCCUUCUCUCGUCGAUCAGUCGUUCGUUCCUCGCUCUCCCACGUGGAAAUCGAGAACGAAAACGAUAAUGGUAAGAACAUAAUGCGCGACAAUGGAGUGGAUACACUUGCGCAAGGCAAAACCAAUAAUAUCACGUGUCCGCUACUAUAUAAUGUCGCUUCGUGCUCGUGAUACACGACCCAUGAUAUAUAUUUGAAUUAAUAAAUAUACAAAGUACGAGAAAUACGGAUGUUUCCGCGAAUUUUAAGAGAACUUUCAACACUGUGAGAAAGUUUCGACGAAUCGCACAACGACAAAGUUUCCGAGGGCAAACUGCAAAGUAGCACGAUCCGUCCUGCAUCCACGAUCCGUGUGUACGCAUUGUUAACACAGAUUUCAUCUCCGGUACAGCUAACAAUAUACAUGGCGAAUAGCAACAAUUUAACACGGAACAGCUAACGGACAAAACAUGUUACGAAUUACAACUAUAAUAUAUGUACAUAAACCCUGGAAACCGUUACAGACCCGCGUGUAUGAAUCGAGGAAUAUAAAUCGAAGCUCAAAGGAUUAAUCGGUAUUGUUCUUGGCUCUGCCGUUAUAUUUCUGGAGAGAGAGAGAGAGACAGAGAAAGAGAGAGAAAGAGAGAGGGAAGGAAUAAUAGCAUGAUCGAGAACCAAAGUAGAUGAUGCUCGUAAUGAAUUGCGGCUAUGGUUAAAACCGAAUGCUAAUUAUCCGGUAGCCGCAGUGUUUGCGGCUACGAUAAUAACGAUUUUGUUAUAUUAUUUUUAUAUUCAUUUAUUUGAUUCACGUGGCUAAUUUUGAAAUAUAACGACGUGGGAGGACCGAUUCUAAGAGUCUGAGAGGUCUCGCGAAUGCAUGAAAGUUAAUCAAUUCAAGGACUUGUGGACAACAAAUAGUUCCAUUAAUCAACCAAAAUAGGAAAAGUAGGUCGCCAACGAUUCUCCGAAAUUGAAGAGAUUUCAAGCAAAGUUCGUUUAUGAGUGAACUAUAGUGGCGAUCUGUAAUGGCUGUUCUUUUUUUGUCCGUUGUAAACAAAUCCGCGAAGGCAAUGGUAUAUAUUCCCUAUCAACUUUAACGUCGUAAAAUUAUAUUUCGUUCUGUAAAAUUUUGCAUUAGGAAAAGUGAAGGGAACGAUGCUCGCGUGUUUUCAACGAAAGAACGAAAAAUCGGUGGAAGAACAUUGGGAAAAAGAAGGAUCUGUCUCGGAACUCUCGAACGAACGAGCCUGCCACCCAUUAUCGUUACACGACUAAUUAGCUCGAACACGCGACGCGAUUCCGGACAACGAUUUUAUUCGCGACGCUUCGCAUUACCGCGUUCACGGCCGCUAAUUUCAGUCUGUCGUAGAAAAUUCAGAAUUUCGAGGCGAAAGGAACGCUCAGUCGAACGAAAUUAACGAAUUGAAUUCGUUAUAUUUUCAAUGUUCUUCUUGACUCGCUGCAACGCCGUGACUGCCGCAUUACGGUUUACAGAUUCAAUUAAAAUCGAGCAAACACCGUAUUUCCUGUUCUACGUGAUUUUAAAGAGACCUUAAUCAAGAAAAUCAAGGCGUGAGCAAAUUGCGUUUAAAAAUUCGGAUUUAAAUAGUUCGUGAUUCGCUUGAAAGAUAAAUCUAAAUCUAUAAAGAAACUGUUGUUUCGCUAUUUAUUAUUGAAAGGACGAAUCCCUGAUGCAAAAAGACAAUCUCCAGUAAGAAGCAAACAUCAGAAGCCGAUGCUUUUUCUUCAACAAGCAGUCAGAUACACGAAGGUUCGGCUCAAUUAAUAAAUGGGAGGACGUCGUUAGCCCGAUUCCAGGGUCGUUCACUGUACCAAUCCUUGCAUCGAUCUCUCAGCUGGAUGUUAGAGAGAUCGAGAAAGCCAGUCGAAGGCGGUUGAUCUUUCGAUGGUUGCUGGUUGCUUGCGGCCUCUAAAGGGAUUACGUUUCCUCUCGGGGACAAUUCGUCAAGAUCACGUCUUGGAUCAGGCCGCAGAAUCGAGUUGUUUGUUGCUCUCCGAUAAUAGAUGCAGCAUAAUCGCUGCGGUCGCCCUGGCACACGUGCUAUCGAUUCUUCGAACCUGGUUUCCAGAUCCUCUAUGGCAGCUUAACGAUCGCUCCACUCGAUUGGCUAAUAACUUUGACAUCAAAGCGCUGAGAACGUGGCAAGAAAAUGAAGGUCCUUCGAUAGAAGAAGUUUACUUCGCUCUUCUGUCAAAACACCAGCAUCAGCUAAGAUCCAACGUGAAUUCUUAUGCACAAUGUCAAAGGACAAUUCUCAGAAGUCCAGAAAUUUUCACUCGAGGAAGGGGAAGAUCGUUUCUGUUCAGUUUUAAUUUUCCAUGUCUUUGUGGAAGUUUCUUCGUCUGGAAGAGGUAUUCGAAGGAAAGGAAAGUUUUUCCUCGAAAACGGAAUUCGACAGCUGCUCCCGUACCCUUUUUGAACGUGUCGACUCCUCGAAAGAAGGGACAACGAAGAAGAACAGAUUCGAGUGAGCGAGUUCCGUAACGUGGCGCGUACUUUGAGGCAUUCGACAGGGAAUUUUUUCUAAAUUUGGAAAGCAGGACGGGAGUCGCCUCGGGUGCUGCUUAUGACAGGCGCGCGCGUUCCAUCGUUGAAUGCCACGCGAGAGGCAGAAGCGUCAAUUUCGCGAGGAACGCGUCGAAGGAAGCUGGAAAUUGCCGCUCAUGAAACCCUCCUUUUGUUUUCCUCGAACGGUUUUUCAUUUCGCUGUCUGCUGGUUCUACUUGUCGCACGAAACGCAGCCGCGUAAAAAUCUCGUAAAACGCGCAACGAUGUCAAAAUUUCCGGAUCAUUUAAGGCUAUACGACGUAAUAAACUUUUUAUGGAAGUUCGUCGGAAAAUUUGUUUCGCGGCCGUUUGUUUGUAUUUUAUUUUCUCCUAUUUUCCCUCGAAUGCGCCGGCUACGGUUUACGCCACAGCCGAAGACGAGACCAAUUCGUUUCAUGACCGAUCGACGGCUACGUGUGAACGGUUUCAAUUUUACAUGACCAACAACCGAAGAGAAUAAUUGGUCGAAUUAGCAAUUCAAUUCCUUCGACGGCGAUCGAUCCGCGUGGCCGAUUCGUUUUAUUCGCGAAUAUUUUACAGCAACGAUCUACACACAAAAGAGACCAACGUUAGGAGGUCGCAGCACUUUUGUCACGUCCUUGAGGAACAUGUAUUUCGACGCUUUGUUAACACUGUAGCUAGUUUUGUCAGAGAUUGACUGAUAUACUAAUGUCAAUCAACUCCUGAUGAAGCUAGCUGCCAUGCUGGCACAAUGUCGAAACACAGUUUCCUCAAAGACUCGACUCAUACACGGGGGAGCCUUUAUUCCAAAAAUUCUACAAUGCCAGGCUGUAGAAGUGCCAGAUUUGGAAUUUUUCUCUCCCUAGCACAUUAUCCUGCGGCGACUCUGCACAGCACAAGAUGUCUAUACUAAUAACUAUAAGUGUUAGGAUACCUACUAAUCUCCUAAGAAUUGAAUACUUUUCUGUUGUCUAGUUGCUUCACUAUAAAUAUAUUUUCAUUCAUCUCUUAUAAAUUUAUUACUUGUACAUUAUAUUCGCCUUAUGCAAAAUAUAAAAUAAAAUAAAAUUUGUUAGAGUUUUCCAAUAAAUAUAACGACAGGGUGCCCUAAUACUUAUGACCGGCAUUGUAUGUCCUUCAACACCCUUCUUCGACGAUGUAUCAGCAUAUUUUAACGCCAACACGUCCCAAAAUGUCUUGUCUCGUCAUUCGGCCUGGCAGACAACUUCUUUAUAUCGGAUGUACGCCGUAAUCUCGCCAGCGGUCGAUCGAUUCGGGCGCUGACAGGGCUUGUCAAGCGGAGAACAAUCUCUAACAAUUCCGCGUCGAUUCUUUACCGAGCUCCUGGGACACUCGACGUUGCUGCUCAUGAAUAUCCGCGAAAGCUACAGGCCAGAAAAGAGGCCGCGAAACGUCCCGCGGAGACGGCGUCAGUCACCAGACAUCAUGUCGGCUUAAAAGUAUUGGCAAGUCUCUUACUAGUGGCGUAACACGAUUUUCAUUUCCAAAAAGGAUAAUUUU
Molecule: long non-coding RNA, 4554 nt
Organism: Bombus pyrosoma
Lineage: Eukaryota; Metazoa; Arthropoda; Insecta; Hymenoptera; Apidae
Exons: 3
Source: RefSeq, a predicted model, not a curated record